GGUGGGGCCUGGAAGCGCGAUGAUCCGGAGGCUCCACCUCGACGAACAGGGAUGACUGGAGUUCCAAAGCUUAAUCCCAAAUUCUCCACCCAAAGAGCAGGUGAAGAGCGCCGCUUGAAAUAAUGCAGCUAAGUUGCUCACUUUAACAGAUUUUUUGUGGUUAUGCAAGGACAAGUAAGGUUCCAAUUGUUAAUUUCGAGGUUUCUCAUCACAGAGCAGGUAAAAUGUUGAUGUUAUGAUUUUUUAUUUUGCUGAUCAUAUUUUCCUUACUUGUAUGAAUCUCUGGCGAUGAUCUAAUUGAUUGGAAUUAUUUUAAUCAUUCGUAAUGUUUGUGUUGUUGCCAUGUUGGAGCAGUCGCACAGUGAGGCUGCUAAGAGCUGAUAAGGGGAAGGCGUUUGUUGAUCUUUUAAAUGAGAAAGCAAACGAUUCUGGGGAAAAUGAGAUGGGCUAUGUAGAAAGGACGUUAGCGUUCAGUACACGGCAUUUGGAUGAUAGGGAUAUAAGAUUGGUAAAAUUCAUAUAUUUCACAUGUUGAAAUGUUUGUUCUGUCUACGAAUUUCAGUACACAGAUGGACCUUACCGGCGUCACUGAUGUGCUGUGGAAGAGGUUCUUCCAGCGGGAAUUCGGUGAGGCUGACAUGAACGUUGCCAUCAAGAGAAUGAAGGAGAGCGGAGUGCGUUACAAGUGGAAGAAACUCUUUGAGAAAAGCAAAAGCAAGUUGAACAAAGAAUGUCCGCGGGACUCAGAAACAAAUAUGAAGUAGCAAACGCCGGGACAUGAUCUUGCGGAAGAUGGGCAACCAUGCUUUGCUGCCAAAAGUCUCCUUCACACAGUGCCGCCGGCAAACAUGUCAUGCAGCAUUUGUCGAUCAAACAUGUGUUAGAUGAUGGAAAAGAUCACACAUGGCAUUUGAUUUCAAGUAAUGAUAUUAGAAGUUUCACGGUGAUGACCAGAUCUUGAGGUUCCACGGUGAUGAUGGAAAGAUUCCACGGUGAUGACCAGAUCUUGAGGUUCUAUGCUGCGUCGCAGAGGCUGGUUCUUGAAGUUUCUUGAUUUCACCACAAUUUUAGCAGUUUUGUGUACCAGCUCUUUCAGCUUAUUUGUAGCAUGUGUGCUUCUGCACAAUACUGAAGUUUUGAACAGUGGUAGCCUGUAACAAACCUAUAAAGCCCUAUGAUGUUUGGCACCAUGAGGUGUUUAUAUGAAUCAGUAACUCUGUAACUCGUAUUAUUUUAAUUGUUGGAGAGGAAAAGAAAAGUAGAAGGAAUUGGCACACAA
Hordeum vulgare subsp. vulgare (domesticated barley) is the source of this 1279-nucleotide long non-coding RNA. RefSeq lists it as uncharacterized. The record is from RefSeq and is a predicted model, not a curated record. Lineage: Eukaryota; Viridiplantae; Streptophyta; Magnoliopsida; Poales; Poaceae. The transcript is spliced from 5 exons.